GACGAACGCUGGCGGCGUGCUUAACACAUGCAAGUCGAGCGGAGCGGCGAACGGGUGAGUAAGGCGUUAGUAACUGCCCCCCUCUCUGGGAUAACAGUUGGAAACGGCUGAUAAUACCGGAUAGUGGGGGAUGGCUGGGGGCCUAUCAGCUUGUUGGGUGGGUAGUGGCCUACCAAGGCGACGACGGGUAGCCGGCCUGGGAGGGGGGACGGCCUCAUGGGGCUGAGGUACGGCCCAGUGUCCUACGGGAGGCAGCAGGGGGAAAUAUUGUGCAAUGGGGGCACCCGUGAUGCAGCAGCGCGCGGGCGGGAUGACGUCUUUCGGGUGGUAAACCGCUUUCAGCCAUGACGCGGUAGUGGCAGAAGAAGCACCGGCUAACUACGUGCCAGCCGCCGCGGUAAUUC
RNAcentral lists this ribosomal RNA (404 nucleotides) under uncultured bacterium. RNAcentral describes it as "partial 16S ribosomal RNA". It matches the Rfam family "Bacterial small subunit ribosomal RNA", at positions 28 to 526 of the family's 1533-position model. The record is from RNAcentral.